GGUGGUUAUAGCACGAGGGAUCCACCUCUUCCCAUUCCGAACAGAGAAGAUAAGCCUCGUCACGCCGAUGGUACUGCGUAACAGUGGGAGAGUAGGUAGCCGCCG
Molecule: ribosomal RNA, 105 nt
Filed under: uncultured Parabacteroides sp.
Lineage: Bacteria; Pseudomonadati; Bacteroidota; Bacteroidia; Bacteroidales; Tannerellaceae
Source: RNAcentral